AUCAUGGGAUCGCUGUGCAGACAGGAACUAGCCAUGAUUUCGCAUCGGACACCGUAUAACGGCCUUUAGCUCUUUUACCCGCGCACAGGCGAACAAUUUGAUAACAUGAUAGAGUUUCUGUUUGCUCCAUCCAUUGAGCUAAGAUAAUAUGCAUACAAUUAAACAGACAGGUGAUUGGCUUAAAAACAAUCACAUACAUGUGAAUGAUGAUUGGUUGAAGGCUUGUGUGGAAUGGAUACAAGAAGAGAACCAGGGACAAGGGUUGACAAAUGAUGAUAUAAAUUCUCAAGUGUACGAACAAUGGUUGUUGGCAGAUCUUCACGAGUUAGAGACAUGCUGUCUUCCAGGGGAGAUCACUACAUCACAGAAAUUUGAAUUGAUUGGAACUUACGCUUUACAGGUACUAUGCAUUAAAUGUCAGUUACAC
Molecule: long non-coding RNA, 427 nt
Organism: Ruditapes philippinarum (Manila clam)
Lineage: Eukaryota; Metazoa; Mollusca; Bivalvia; Venerida; Veneridae
Exons: 3
Source: RefSeq, a predicted model, not a curated record